RNAcentral lists this unclassified non-coding RNA (332 nucleotides) under soil metagenome. RNAcentral describes it as "partial contains 5.8S ribosomal RNA, internal transcribed spacer 2, and large subunit ribosomal RNA". The stretch from base 1 to 121 matches the Rfam family "5.8S ribosomal RNA", at positions 35 to 154 of the family's 154-position model. The record is from RNAcentral.
GAUGAAGGAACGCAGCGAAAUGCGAUAAGUAAUGUGAAUUGCAGAAUUCAGUGAAUCAUCGAAUCUUUGAACGCACAUUGCGCCCCCUGGUAUUCCGGGGGGCAUGCCUGUUCGAGCGUCAUUUCACCACUCAAGCCUCGCUUGGUAUUGGGCAACGCGGUCCGCCGCGUGCCUCAAAUCGACCGGCUGGGUCUUCUGUCCCCUAAGCGUUGUGGAAACUAUUCGCUAAAGGGUGUUCGGGAGGCUACGCCGUAAAACAACCCCAUUUCUAAGGUUGACCUCGGAUCAGGUAGGGAUACCCGCUGAACUUAAGCAUAUCAAUAAGCGGAGGA